This 73-nucleotide transfer RNA is filed under the name Phycisphaerales bacterium. Its description in RNAcentral is "tRNA-Ala". It matches the Rfam family "tRNA". From Rfam's summary of the family: Transfer RNA (tRNA) molecules are approximately 80 nucleotides in length. Their secondary structure includes four short double-helical elements and three loops (D, anti-codon, and T loops). RNAcentral also lists the same sequence under 2 other names. Lineage: Bacteria; Pseudomonadati; Planctomycetota; Phycisphaerae; Phycisphaerales. The record is from RNAcentral.
GGGGACGUAGCUCAGUUGGUAGAGCGCUUCCAUGGCAUGGAAGAGGUCGUCGGUUCGACCCCGAUCGUCUCCA